Molecule: ribosomal RNA, 639 nt
Filed under: uncultured Actinomycetes bacterium
Lineage: Bacteria; Bacillati; Actinomycetota; Actinomycetes
Description: bacterial SSU rRNA
Rfam family: Bacterial small subunit ribosomal RNA
Source: RNAcentral
CGCGGCCUAUCAGCUUGUUGGUGAGGUAACGGCUCACCAAGGCAUCGACGGGUAGCUGGUCUGAGAGGACGAUCAGCCACACUGGGACUGAGACACGGCCCAGACUCCUACGGGAGGCAGCAGUAGGGAAUCUUGCGCAAUGGGCGAAAGCCUGACGCAGCAACGCCGCGUGGGGGAAGAAGGCUCUCGGGUCGUAAACCCCUUUCAGCAGGGACGAAAAUGACGGUACCUGCAGAAGAAGGACCGGCCAACUACGUGCCAGCAGCCGCGGUAAUACGUAGGGUCCAAGCGUUGUCCGGAUUUAUUGGGCGUAAAGAGCUCGUAGGCGGUUUGGUAAGUCGGGUGUGAAAACUCAGGGCUCAACCCUGAGACGCCACUCGAUACUGCCAUGACUAGAGUCCGGUAAGGGAGUGUGGAAUUCCUGGUGUAGCGGUGAAAUGCGCAGAUAUCAGGAGGAACACCAACAGCGAAGGCAGCACUCUGGGCCGGUACUGACGCUGAGGAGCGAAAGCAUGGGGAGCAAACAGGAUUAGAUACCCUGGUAGUCCAUGCCGUAAACGUUGGGCACUAGGUGUGGGUCCCAUCCAACGGGAUCCGUGCCGUAGCUAACGCAUUAAGUGCCCCGCCUGGGGAGUACGG